AGGGUUUGAUCCUGGCUCAGAACGUACGCUGGCGGCACGCCUAACACAUGCAAGUCGAACGAAGUAGCAAUACUUAGUGGCAGACGGGUGAGUAACAUGUGGGUAUCUGCCCUUUGGCCUGGAAUAACACGAGGAAACUUGUGCUAAUACCGGAUAAGUCUUUACGGAGAAAGCUUUAUGCACCAUUGGAUGAGCCCGCACUUGAUUAGUUUGUUGGUGGGGUAAUGGCCUACCAAGACUUUGAUCAAUAGCUGAUUUGAGAGGAUGAUCAGCCACAUUGGGACUGAGACACGGCCCAAACUCCUACGGGAGGCAGCAGUGGGGAAUCUUGCACAAUGGAGGAAACUCUGAUGCAGCGAUGCCGCGUGAGUGAAGAAGGCCUUUGGGUUGUAAAGCUCUUUCGUCGGGGAAGAAAAUGACUGUACCCGAAUAAGAAGGUCCGGCUAACUUCGUGCCAGCAGCCGCGGUAAUACGAAGGGACCUAGCGUAGUUCGGAAUUACUGGGCUUAAAGAGUUCGUAGGUGGUUGAAAAAGUUGGUGGUGAAAUCCCAGAGCUUAACUCUGGAACUGCCAUCAAAACUUUUCAGCUAGAGUUUGAUAGAGGAAAGCAGAAUUUCUAGUGUAGAGGUGAAAUUCGUAGAUAUUAGAAAGAAUACCAAUUGCGAAGGCAGCUUUCUGGAUCAUUACUGACACUGAGGAACGAAAGCAUGGGUAGCGAAGAGGAUUAGAUACCCUCGUAGUCCAUGCCGUAAACGAUGUGUGUUAGACGUUGGAAAUUUAUUUUCAGUGUCGCAGCGAAAGCGAUAAACACACCGCCUGGGGAGUACGACCGCAAGGUUAAAACUCAAAUGAAUUGACGGGGACCCGCACAAGUAGUGGAGCAUGUGGUUUAAUUCGAAGAUACGCGCAGAACCUUACCAACACUUGACAUGUUCGUCGCGACUUUAAGAGAUUAAAGUUUUCGGUUCGGCCGGACGAAACACAGGUGCUGCAUGGCUGUCGUCAGCUCGUGUCGUGAGAUGUUGGGUUAAGUCCCGCAACGAGCGCAACCCUCACUUUUAGUUGCCAUCAUUUAGUUGGGCACUCUGAAAGAACUGCCAGUGAUAAGCUGGAGGAAGGUGGGGAUGACGUCAAGUCCUCAUGGCCCUUACGUGUUGGGCUACACACGUGCUACAAUGGUAUUUACAACAGGAAGCAAAACAGCGAUGUUAAGCAAAUCCUUAAAAAAUACCUCAGUUCGGAUUGCACUCUGCAACUCGAGUGCAUGAAGCUGGAAUUACUAGUAAUCGUGGAUCAGCGUGCCACGUUGAAUGCGUUCCCGGGUCUUGUACACACCGCCCGUCACACCAUGGGAGUUGGUUCUACCUUAAGGCAAGGCAUAAAACCCUUGACCACGGUAUAGUCAGCGACUGGGGUGAAGUCAUAACAAGGUAGCCGUA
Molecule: ribosomal RNA, 1439 nt
Filed under: uncultured bacterium
Lineage: Bacteria
Description: bacterial SSU rRNA
Rfam family: Bacterial small subunit ribosomal RNA
Source: RNAcentral